RNAcentral lists this ribosomal RNA (321 nucleotides) under Triticum aestivum (bread wheat). RNAcentral's name for it is "partial small subunit ribosomal RNA". The record is from RNAcentral. Lineage: Eukaryota; Viridiplantae; Streptophyta; Magnoliopsida; Poales; Poaceae.
AUGGUGCCUAAGAAUGACACCUGGUGCUUGUGUUUCGACUUUAAGGACCUCAACAAAGUUUGCCCAAAGGAUCCGUUCCCUCUGCCACGCACUGACCAGAUCAUCGAUGCCACGGUCAGGCACAAGUUGAUGGACUUCCUGGAUGCGUACUCAGGGUACCACCAGAUUAAGGUGAAGGUGUCCGACCAGGAGGCCACCACAUUCAUCACAAAAGUACGGUCCGUUCUGCUAUAUAACGAUGCCCUUUGGGCUCAAGAAUGCAGGAGCCACGUACCAGCGUAUGAUAACAUGCCUGCAUACGCAGGUCGGCAAAACUAUUGA